AGUGAACGCUGGCGGUAGGCCUAACACAUGCAAGUCGAACGGCAGCACCGUAAGAGCUUGCUCUUACGGGUGGCGAGUGGCGGACGGGUGAGGAAUACAUCGGAAUCUACUUUUUCGUGGGGGUUCACGUAGGUAAACUUACUCUAAUACCGCAUACGACCUACGGGUGAAAGCAGUGGAUCUUCGCACCUUGCGCGAUUGAAUGAGCCGAUGUGGGAUUAGCUAGUUGGCGGGGUAAAGGCCCACCAAGGCGGCGAUCCGUAGCUGGUCUGAGAGGAUGAUCAGCCACACUGGAACUGAGACACGGUCCAGACUCCUACGGGAGGCAGCAGUGGGGAAUAUUGGACAAUGGGCGCAAGCCUGAUCCAGCCAUACCGCGUGGGUGAAGAAGGCCUUCGGGUUGUGAAGCCCUUUUGUUGGGAAAGAAAAGCAGCAGGUUAAUACCCCGCUGUUCUGACGGUACCCAAAGAAUAAGCACAGGCUAACUUCGUG
This 492-nucleotide ribosomal RNA is filed under the name uncultured bacterium. RNAcentral's name for it is "partial 16S ribosomal RNA". It matches the Rfam family "Bacterial small subunit ribosomal RNA", at positions 29 to 507 of the family's 1533-position model. The record is from RNAcentral.